AAUAAGGUAGGCUUGUGUAAAUUCAUAAUCUAGACCGAUAUUGUUUAUAGUACUAUUAUUGUAGUUCAACAUGAGUUUUCGGACUCGCAGACACCCAGCUUUAAUUUCCAAUGCUUCUUUACUGUCAGACUAUUCAAACUAGUUGUAUAUGUGAAUUGACAUGCAGAAGGAUUUGGAUCAAGUUAGCAGUGAAGCAGGUUCUUUUCUUGCAAGUCUUUUGUUUUACUUCAACGCUCUGCCAAACAGUAGAUGUUUUUUUCUCAACCUCACUGGAAGUUGCUAUUUUCAAUCAUUCAGAACACAUUUGAUAUUCGCCAGUUGAUUACUUUAAAUUUGGUCAUUUCCGAUCAUUUGGGAUAUGAACAACGUGAGGGCGAGAGAAAUUUCCAACGGCUUACAAAAUAACAGAGACAUCACUGAAUAUGGCGAGAAGCCAAAACGCGUACGAAUCACAAAUAAACACCGAGAGUGCAGACCGGUUCAACUUGUGCGAACCAUCACCCGCCAGCUUCAAUAGGGAAGACGAGGGGAUAAGGAAGACCAAUAUGAUCAAAAUCGACCCAACGACAGUCUCACAGCCAGAAAUCAGCAAUAAAUAUCGCGCUUUAUUUUGUUUAUGUUUCAAGAUCGUGAAAAUCUGAGAAAUAAUAAUUUUAUGACUUGUAUAUCUCCUUACUUGCUGUUCCUUACAUGAGUCACCAGAGUGAGUGCGGCAAUGAAUUCUCGGAAGUCAAACAGAUACAGGCCGGUGUACUGCAAGGCUCAAUGGGUAUCUGAGAAAUAUCAGCGUCGAAUAAAACCGUGCGCUUCGAUUCUGCAAAGAGGAUGUGUUUUAGGACCUACAUCACAUCCCUGGGAUGACCGAUACAGGAUCAAGUAAUUCCUCGGUGAAUCAGGACUAAAAAAAUGGAACGUGAGAUACAAGGAAAAGCAUAAAAUAACCCUGAACACCUCCUAAUCUGUUAAAAUGGUCUGAAUAACAGACGAGAAAAUCAGCAUAACAUCAUCUGGAAAUUGUUAUCGGGCAGAAGAGUCAUGGCCUUCUUCCGGCAAAUUGCUAAUUGAAAGAAAGAUAAACAGCACAUCACAAAAAACCCGGAUAGAUUUCCACCCGGAAGAUUCAGUCUUCGCCAGUUCAGUAAUUAAUAUUAUUUCUCGAUAUGAGAAGGCCUGAAAAUCCCUAGAUAAGUUUUCCCCGUUGCAAUUUUCAUCCUUUACUUUACGACCUGGCAGGCCCUCUUUUUAUUUAUUUUUAACGAGUUUCUUUAAACGUCUCAGUGGGAGUCGAGGACGGAGACCAAUUUGGCAACUCGGUUUUGGCGAACGUACCGGGUUUUUAAAUGUUUAAUCUAUCAUAUAAUCUAAUAACGACCGUCAUUCAUUAUCAGAGAAUAAAUCAUUCCACCAAAUACUAAAAAAAUGUGUAUGAUAAAAAAUUGCCUAAUUACAUCGAUCGAUUACAUAAAAAGAAAAAUUUAACCUAAGUUUUCUGC
This 1493-nucleotide long non-coding RNA is filed under the name Cimex lectularius (bed bug). RNAcentral describes it as "uncharacterized LOC112126318, transcript variant X2". The record is from RNAcentral. Lineage: Eukaryota; Metazoa; Arthropoda; Insecta; Hemiptera; Cimicidae.